This 253-nucleotide ribosomal RNA is filed under the name uncultured prokaryote. RNAcentral describes it as "partial 16S ribosomal RNA". It matches the Rfam family "Bacterial small subunit ribosomal RNA", at positions 524 to 776 of the family's 1533-position model. The record is from RNAcentral.
UACGAGGGGGGCGAGCGUUGUUCGGAAUUAUUGGGCGUAAAGGGUGCGUAGGCGGUUUGGUAAGUCUGAUGUGAAAUCUAUGGGCUCAACUUGGGAACUGCAUUUGAUACUGUCAGACUAGAGUACAGAAGAGGUGACUGGAAUUCCCAGUGUAGCGGUGAAAUGCGUAGUUAUUGGGAGGAACACCAGAUGCGAAGGCGGGUCACUGGGCUGAUACUGACGCUGAAGUGCGAAAGCCAGGGGAGCGAACGGG